RNAcentral lists this long non-coding RNA (290 nucleotides) under Elaeis guineensis (African oil palm). Its description in RNAcentral is "long non-coding RNA (EGUI_LNC059303)". The record is from RNAcentral. Lineage: Eukaryota; Viridiplantae; Streptophyta; Magnoliopsida; Arecales; Arecaceae.
ACAAGCUAGUCGUGCAAGUUUUACUUUUGAAAAAUUUUUGAUUGCACAUAUCUCUUAAUAUUUAAAAAAUUAAAACUUAACUAAAAUUAUACAAAAAUUGACCUCAUUAUUAUAAAUAAAAAUUUUAUAACUCAAUUUUAUUAUUCUAAAAGAAAAAAAAUCUAAAUCCUAUUUUUAUUGAUGUUUUAUUUUUUUAUAAAUAUUUAAGUCAAAUAGGCUGAAAGAAUUUUUUCCUUCUUCCCUACCCGUUGAUAGGCAAAUGUGAAAUAUGAGAUGAUGGCAUAUUGAUC